UAGCAGAUCUCCCCCUCUCUCCAAUUUGAUGCGCAACCCUAUCCUACACACACUCACGAUUCCCUGAACCAGGGGAUGAGAAAGAACGAAAAUGGAAAGGUAGGGGGAAAGGGGAAGGAGGUCACUGCCCAAUCCACGCCGCCAUACCCUUUUCCUUAGCUUCAGUAAAUCAGAAAGAAAGAAAGAGAGAACGGGAGGAGAGAAAUGGGAGAUCAGAGAAGUGGAGAGGGGAAGAGGAAAGACGACGCCGGCAAGCAUCACUGCCGCCGCGCCGUCGUGUUGCUGCCGAGUGAGAGGAAGCCGCGGACCACAGUCAUGGGCAGAAGAAAGAGCGCGAGCCAGGGCACGCGAGACGGAGCCGCCAUUGCUGGGUCACCGUCCAGCCUCGCCCCAUCGUCCAUCCUUGUCCCACCGCGUCUCGUGAUCACCGCCGUCGCGCCUGGUCACCCUUCGAGCUCGCCAUCGACGGCGUUGCGUCUCUGUCAUGCGAGGGGAGCGCGACCCACCACGUGGAGCUGCGCCGCCGUGCAUCUCCGCUGCCGUCACAAACCAUCCAAGCCUCUUCGCCAUGGUCGCCGCCGUGGGUUUUGGCUGCUGGUGAGGAGAGGGGAGCAGUCACCACCGCAGAAGGAGUUUCGCACGUCACUGUGAGCUGCGAAUCACUGACCGAGAAGAAGCUCCAUCCUCGUUACCGCACUGGAGUGGUUGCAGCCAGCACCGUACAACGCCAUCGCCGCUGCCGGCGAAGGAAGCUUGCCGUCACAAUUCAGUCGCCAUCGAGCCUGAAGGGAAACACCAUUGAUACCACCUGACAGCAGCUCCCCUGUGUUCCCAAACUCCAUUCUUGGAACAUUGUUGCUGGUUUAUCAUUCGAAAAUGGCAUAAUUGAUGCUGAGGCCAUUGUUGUUCUUGCUCCUUGAGAUCUGAUGCCACAAUUGCUGCCAUGUCAAUUCGGAGUUUCAGUUGCUUCGUUUUGUUAAUUCGAGUUGUUAUGGUUGCUGAGGAAACGGUUUGGAGCUGAGGUUACGGCUGCCACAAUUGUGGGCUAAGAGGAAACAAGUUGUGAUGAGUCUUAGAGUUUUCGGGUUUCGACAUUUGAGGAUUGGGCGCAGAAGUUACGAAGAAUUUAUUUAGUUAUUGUUGUGAUGUUCUGUAUUGCUUUGGAUUAUUAAUUAUUGUACCCUCGCCUUUAUCUUGAUAUAUUCUAUAAGAGGGAUAGGAAUUGUAUUGGUUAAUGUCUGUAAUAUUAUUUAUACAUAUAUGUAUGUAUAUAUAUGGAUGUACUCUUUAUGAGUUUUUGUAAGUUGUAUGGUUUCUAUGGAUGUACGUUAUCGAACGAAAGCAUUUUUUUGGGAACGGUAUUUGCGGUUUAAAGUUUUAAACAGGCUCAUAUUUUAGUAUUAAUUAGUAUAAGUGUCGUCGUAAUGUCCGAGCUAUCAGAGUUGCGCAGCCGAAGGCGUGAGCUUUGGUAGUUAGGGUAUUACAGUAAAGCUAUACCAAUAUACACAUUGUCAUGUUUUAAACUGUCAGACAGCUUGCUAAAUGAAAUUCAUAAGAUUCUAAUCUAGUUCUGGUGGAGGCAGCAAAGUUCUCAAAGGCGAAUUGUGUGGAUUAGUUGGGAUAAGAUGACUUGGCCUAAAAAAAAGCGGACUUGGUUUCAAAGAUCUCAGGGCUCAAAACCUGGCACUUUUGGGUAAACAGUGUUGAAAAAGCGUGACUCAACCUAACUCUUUUCUUUCUAGAAUACUUAAAGAUAACUCCUUUAGAUUUAUUUCUAUCCUUACAGCAGAAGUAGGAAACUUACCUUCUUGGGGUUGACAAAGUAUUCUUAAAGGGAGACAAGUUGUAGAGAAAGGCAUUAGUUGAAAAGUAAG
Long non-coding RNA from Arachis stenosperma, 1874 nucleotides. RefSeq lists it as uncharacterized. Lineage: Eukaryota; Viridiplantae; Streptophyta; Magnoliopsida; Fabales; Fabaceae. The record is from RefSeq and is a predicted model, not a curated record. The transcript has 4 exons.